GAUGAAGAACGUAGCAAAAUGCGAUACUUGGUGUGAAUUGCAGAAUCCCGUGAACCAUCGAGUUUUUGAACGCAAGUUGCGCCCGAAGCCUUUUGGCCGAGGGCACGUCUGCCUGGGCGUCACGCAUCGCGUCGCCCCCCACAAUUCUCCGUAAAAGGAACAUGUGUUUUGGGGGCGGAUAUUGGUCUCCCGUGCUCAUGGCGUGGUUGGCCGAAAUAGGAGUCCUUUCGAUGGACGCACGAACUAGUGGUGGUCGUAAAAACCCUCGUCUUUUGUUUCGUGCUGUUGCUCGCAAGGUAAACUCUUUAAAAACCCCAAUGUGUCGUCUCUUGACGACGCUUCGACCGCGACCCCAGGUCAGGCGGGACUACCCGCUGAGUUUAAGAAUAUCAAUAAGCGGAGGA
RNAcentral lists this unclassified non-coding RNA (404 nucleotides) under soil metagenome. RNAcentral's name for it is "partial contains 5.8S ribosomal RNA, internal transcribed spacer 2, and large subunit ribosomal RNA". The stretch from base 1 to 122 matches the Rfam family "5.8S ribosomal RNA", at positions 35 to 154 of the family's 154-position model. The record is from RNAcentral.